AUUAAUAAUCAUAUCUAACUUAAUGUUCAGUCCUAUAGAUGUAAAAGGUAUUUACAUGUAUUGUUAAUGUUCUAAAUGGUUAUUUGGCAGUAAUUAAUAUUAUACUAUUAAUUAAUUUUAGAUAUAGUAUUCCUUUUAUGUAUCGGUAAAAUGCGUGCCAGCUGCCGCGGUUAGACGUGGGAUACUAAUAAAUAUUUUUGGUUAAAAGUUAACUUUUGAUUGUCAUAGUUUAAUAAAUUAUUUUGGUGGAAUAAUUAAUUUUGUUUAUUUUGAUUAUAAGAUUUGGUGAGGCUUUGAAAUGUUUAUUAAAAACUAGGAUUAGAUACCCUAUUAUUGAACAUUUAAAAUUUAGUUACUUGAGUAGUAUUAGGUAUGAUCUUGAAACUCAAAGAAUUUGGCGGUGUUUUAGUCCUUUCAGAGGAAUCUGUUCUGUAAUUGAUAUUACACGAUUUGAUAUACUUAAUUUUGUUAUCAGUUUAUAUACCGCCGUCGUAAGAUUAUCUUGUAGAGAGUAUUAAAUUUCGUUGUGUUUAAUUGAUCUUUAUGUCAGGUCAAGGUGUAGCUUAUGGUUAAGAAGAAAUGGAUUACAAUAAAUUUAUUUAUAUGGAUAAUAUUUUUAAUGAGUAUUUGAAAGUGGAUUUGAUUGUAAAUUGAUUUAAAAUGUUCUGUUGAUUAUGGCUCUAAAAUGUGUACAUAUCGCCCGUCGCUCUCGUUUUAAGAUGAGAUAAGUCGUAACAUAGUAGGUGUACCGGAAGGUGUACCUAGAAUG
RNAcentral lists this non-coding RNA (769 nucleotides) under Acheta domesticus (house cricket). Lineage: Eukaryota; Metazoa; Arthropoda; Insecta; Orthoptera; Gryllidae. The record is from RNAcentral.